GGGGGAUAUUGCACAAUGGAGGAAACUCUGAUGCAGCGACGCCGCGUGAGGGAAGAAGGUAUUCGUAUUGUAAACCUCUGUCUUUGGGGACGAAAGAAAUGACGGUACCCGAAGAGGAAGCACCGGCUAACUACGUGCCAGCAGCCGCGGUAAAACGUAGGGUGCAAGCGUUGUCCGGAAUUACUGGGUGUAAAGGGAGCGCAGGCGGAGCGACAAGUUGAAUGUGAAAAGUAUGGGCUCAACCCAUAUCGUGCGUUCAAAACUGUCGUUCUUGAGUGAAGUAGAGGCAAGUGGAAUUCCCGGUGUAGCGGUGGAAUGCGUAGAGAUCGGGAGGAACACCAGUGGCGAAGGCGACUUGCUGGGCUUUAACUGACGCUGAGGCUCGAAAGCGUGGGGAGCAAACA
RNAcentral lists this ribosomal RNA (404 nucleotides) under uncultured Oscillospiraceae bacterium. Its description in RNAcentral is "bacterial SSU rRNA". It matches the Rfam family "Bacterial small subunit ribosomal RNA", at positions 356 to 774 of the family's 1533-position model. The record is from RNAcentral. Lineage: Bacteria; Bacillati; Bacillota; Clostridia; Eubacteriales; Oscillospiraceae.